UCCCUGAUGUUCCAGUACUUAGGACUCGGUGCUUUCAGUGCCGGGGUCUGGGUUCAAUUCCUGGUUGGGGAA
Molecule: transfer RNA, 72 nt
Filed under: Bos taurus (domestic cattle)
Lineage: Eukaryota; Metazoa; Chordata; Mammalia; Artiodactyla; Bovidae
Also listed under: 2 other names
Rfam family: tRNA
About the family: Transfer RNA (tRNA) molecules are approximately 80 nucleotides in length.
Source: Rfam by way of RNAcentral